Molecule: ribosomal RNA, 279 nt
Filed under: uncultured bacterium
Lineage: Bacteria
Description: partial 16S ribosomal RNA
Rfam family: Bacterial small subunit ribosomal RNA
Source: RNAcentral
UGCCAGCCGCCGCGGUAAUACGGAGGGUGCGAGCGUUAUCCGGAAUCACUGGGUUUAAAGGGUGCGUAGGCGGCCCGUUAAGUCAGGGGUGAAAUCCCGCAGCUCAACUGCGGAACUGCCCUUGAUACUGGCGGGCUCGGAUUGGCGCGAGGCGGGCGGAACGUGGCAUGUAGCGGUGAAAUGCUUAGAUAUGCCACAGAACACCGAUUGCGUAGGCAGCUUGCCAGAGCCAUAUCGACGCUGAGGCACGAAAGCGUGGGGAGCGAACAGGAUUAGAUA